Molecule: long non-coding RNA, 492 nt
Filed under: Helianthus annuus (common sunflower)
Lineage: Eukaryota; Viridiplantae; Streptophyta; Magnoliopsida; Asterales; Asteraceae
Source: RNAcentral
CGGCAAUGAUUUGAAUGAUUUAUCCGCGCUUCUGAGAGUAAUCAAUGAAGUAAAGGAUUUAAAAUGGUUGAAUUUCUUAAUAUGAGCCGAUUAUGAAAAUAUGCAGUGAUGAUUGAAUACACAGCUUUAAGCCAGUUCUGCUUCAGAGAAUUCAUGAUUGAUAGAGCUGUUAUUUACUCUGAGCUUAACUAAAUAUGUUUUUUUUUUUUAAUUAUUUUCCGGUGAUGAUAUAAUCCAAUUGUAAGAGGUACGUGGAUCCAAGACCCUGUUUACCGGGAGAACCACUUGGUUGAAGCUGUAUUUCAAAUGAUAUUACUGGAUUUUACUGAGGAUUAUUAAUUAUUAUUAUUAUUAUUGAGUUUAAAUUAUACUUUUUACCCUGGAUUAUUCAACGGGUUUGGAGUCUGAAAAAACUUAUAAAGUAUUGUGUUGUCAUCAGCUUCUUCUUUCGUAACAUUCACAAGACUGGAGUUAAAUAACAGCACGAAAUUG